AGAUUGAACGCUGGCGGCAGGCCUAACACAUGCAAGUCGAGCGGUAGAGAGGUGCUUGCAUCUCUUGAGAGCGGCGGACGGGUGAGUAAUGCCUAGGAAUCUGCCUAGUGGUGGGGGAUAACGUUCGGAAACGGACGCUAAUACCGCAUACGUCCUACGGGAGAAAGCGGGGGACCUUCGGGCCUCGCGCCAUUAGAUGAGCCUAGGUCGGAUUAGCUAGUUGGUGAGGUAAUGGCUCACCAAGGCGACGAUCCGUAACUGGUCUGAGAGGAUGAUCAGUCACACUGGAACUGAGACACGGUCCAGACUCCUACGGGAGGCAGCAGUGGGAAUAUUGACAA
Molecule: ribosomal RNA, 341 nt
Filed under: uncultured soil bacterium
Lineage: Bacteria
Description: bacterial SSU rRNA
Rfam family: Bacterial small subunit ribosomal RNA
Source: RNAcentral